UCUCCGUAGGUGAACCAGCGGAAGGAUCAUUACUGUAUAACCGAGGUCCGAGGCCUUGUGCUGAUCCGACACGUUGUGUACGCCCGAGUGCCCUCUAACACAUCCACCCCACCCCCUCGCCCACCACCGCGCCGGCCCCCCUUCGGCUUGCUCGGAGGCGGGCUUAUGUUUUCACACCAACUUAGCUUGCACUGUAGGACGAAUUUUUUGUUUUUGCGUCCCUUCAUUCAAUACAACUUUCAACAACGGACCUCUUGGCACUCGCAUCGACGAAAAACC
Molecule: unclassified non-coding RNA, 279 nt
Filed under: plant metagenome
Description: partial contains small subunit ribosomal RNA, internal transcribed spacer 1, and 5.8S ribosomal RNA
Source: RNAcentral